GCAGGAAUUUCUGAGGCAGCAGGAGCCACUGAGGCAAAGUGAGCUCAGGCGGAGGUGGGGGAAAGCAUUGAGGGAGAGGGCCUGAGCCUAAAAUGGCAGAAAGCUGAGGUAAGGAGUAAGGUUGAGGAGGCAGGAAGGCCUGAAGAGAGGGGCUCAGGCUGAGGAGGCAGGAAUCACUGAGGUGGGGGGCUCAGGAGAUGGGCAGUGCUAAUGUGGGGGGCUCACACUGAGGGGAUGUGAAGUGCUGUGGUGGAGGGUUAGGCGGAGCUGGGGGAAAGAGCUGAGGUGGGGAGCUCAGGCUGAGCUGGGGAGAAGCAAUGAGAGGAGGGGCUCAGGCUGAGGUGGUGAGAAGAGGUGGGAGGGGUCAGACUCAGAUGGUGGACAGAGCUGAGGAGGCAAGAAGCGCUCUGGUGAGGCAGCUCAAACUGGGAAGAGGGGAACACUGAGGUGAGGGAGUUUAGGCUGAGUACCUACAAAGAAGACAGCAGAAAACCUCUAAGAACCAGCAAGCAAAUAGUAAGAAAGAAAGCAAGUCCCUUAAGGCAGAGGAGAAGGAAAGGAACUGUGGACAGAGUGAGCACCCCAUAAUUAAGGCUCAAGUUAAAGUGGAUAUUGAGCAUUUUAACAUCUUGAGCAGUGUGACCCCCCUAUAACUGGGGUUCAGGUCUGUGCUCUCUUGGCAGCUUUCCAUAAUGCUCCUUUAAUUGGCUACUGAGAGUGACUCCCCUGUAAUUAGGGCACAAGUAAUGUUCCUAUGAUUUAGGGUAAAGUCUCUUGGCCCUUCUCACUGGGUACGAAGUUGGGAUAUAUAUAUAUAUAUAUAUAUGUAUUACCAUAUCAAAAAAGGGAAUUACUUCUUAAGUGUAGUACCAGUGUUUUCGAGGCCAAUUCAGUCAGAGCGGAUGUGGCUCACGCUAAGCAGUUAUGCGGAGAUAAGAAUACUAAGACACGGAAAAUGGCCUUAUUCAGACCUAAUUUAAUCAUGUUAAAUUUGCAAAUGAAUUUCAACUCAUCUGUUUGUCUCUGAGGUCUGGAUUUGAAGAUUGGUUUUUUUGUAAAAGAAUUACUACUUUUAAAUCACUUACCAUGUGUCCAGGUUAGUUAAGUGUUCUCAAAGUGGUUUUUCUAUGUUACAUAUUUUGUAUCUGAUUUGUGUCCAUUUAGCCUCUGACACACAGACUGUCCAGUUAGGACAGUACGCAUGGCAGAGGGGCAUUGCUGACACAUGAUGGCGUAUUUCAUGUAGUAGAUAAACAGGUGGUUGAGCCCCUGAUGGUGUGGUUGAUUUGAUUAGGCCUGUGAUGGAGUUUCUUGUAUAGAUAUGAGGACAGAGUUGGCAAUCAGGUGUGUUGCAGAGAUAGCUUCCUGGGUUAGCGUUUCAAUCGUGUGCUGUGAGGCUAGGAGUAAGUAUUUAACAUGAUCAAAUAAGAUGUGAAUAAGGACUUAGAACAGUUAACCUGCAAAAAGGUAAUUUUCCCUCUCUUUUUACUAAUACCUACCCAUCCUGCACAGAGAAUGGGCCACAUCCACCUGGACUUAAGUGUCCUUCUUGACAUAGGUCCUACUCUUCCUAAGUAACUACCUUCUUUUCAACUGCAGGUACGAAAAUAUAUCCUAAACUUGAGGAUUUCAAAUCCAUCAGUAUCAUGCAGUGAUUUUCACCCAUGAAAGCAAAUGCUAAAAUAAUACCAUUAGUAUUAAUAUCCCACAGGAAUUCUUCUAUUUGUAGAAACUGAAUAAUAUACAUACCCAUUUCUACCCAGUGAGACCUAUACUGCUGUAAUGAGGGGAAAGUGAGCUCUUUGGAACCCAGACCAGUCAGACCUCCCUGUAACAAGGGCUCAGGUCUAUCUUAGCGUGACAAGCCCGUGAAUACGGUGCACGUCACGAGCAUGCCAAACCCCUUUUUCUUGGGGCAUACUGAGGCUUUGGCUGCCUGGACCAGCGAGACCUCCCUGUAACUGAGGACAAGGUCUCUGCCCCUCCUCAUUCGGCGUCCAUGCGCCUUUAGCUGGUGACUUAAGACUGGCCACCCUGUAACUCAGGGUCUAGGCUGCCUCCCUCCUUGACCUACGGAGGCGGACCCAGGGGCCUUUUUGGUAACGUGGGCAGCGUGGUCUCCCUGUAACCAGGGUUCGAGCCCCUGCCCGUUAGUCGCUUGACAUUCCGCUGCCGUAGCCCGCUGGUCCGGACGAGGGCCCUGUAAGCAGGGCACAAGCCUCAUCAGUCACUAUUCCUCGUGCCCCCGCCCCUCACAACUCUACCCGAGCAACUCUGUCCAGAGUCCCGGCCCCUCGCACCGCCUUGCCGGCUCAUCUGGAAUUCCGCAGCGUCUACCCCGCUUCCCUGCCGGGGACAAGACAUCGUGCAGCAGCUGCUGCACCACCGAGGAAGACGAAGAGGAAGAGGAGGAGGAGAAGAAGGAAGCCUCUAGGAGCCGGCAAGCAAACAGGAGGAAAGGAAGCAAGUCACGGAAGGCAGAGGAGAAGGACAGGGACUGUGGACAGAGUGAGCACCCCACAAUUAAAGCUCGGGUCACAGGGGCUACGGAGCUCUUUCACACCUUGAGCAGCGGGACCGCCCUGUAACUGGGGUGCAGGUCCGUGCUCUCUUGGCCGCUUGGCCUCAUGCUCCUCUAACCGGCCAGCGAGAAGGACUCCCCUGCAAUUAGGGCCCAAGUCACCAUCCUGUCGCUUACGGGGGAUACUGAGCUCCUUGGAACUCCGAGCAGCGUGACCUCCCUGUAACUCAGGGUCAGGUCUCUGCCCUCUUGCCCUUUCGGCAUCAUGGCCUGUUGGCAGUCUGGUCAGCUGGACAGCCCUGUAAGGAGGGUUCAUGUCUCGAGCCUCCCUCUCUCUCUCCUUUGUGGGGACAGACUGAGCUCUCUGGACUCCUGGGCAGCGUGGCCUACCGGUAAUUCGGGAUGAGGCCUCUGCCCUUUAGGUCCUUGGCACUAGGCCCCAGGAAGCAGCCGGUCUGAACGGGCCGCCCUCUAAUUGAGGUGCAGGUGGAAUCCCUCUGGUUGAGACGGGAUUAGGACUAACUUUGGUGCCGCUGAUCCCGUGGCCUGCCUGUAACUUGGGUUCAGGUCUCUGCUCCCUUGCCCUUUUGGCUUGGUGGGCUGUUGGCAGUCCAGCCCGCGUGACCCUCCCUGUAAGCGGGGUGUGGGUCGCCAGUAGCGAGGGCUUAGAGCCCGUUUUCCACCGUGGCCUGGCUGACCACCCUGUAAGCAGGGUUCCGGUCUCUCCCCUUUUGGCGCUCACAAUAAUGCUUUCGUAUCCGGCUGUAACCAGAGAGCUUCUCCAGCCCCUUGCUUCUGCGGGGGAAGGAUCUUUGAACUGUGUGACCUCCCUGUACCGAGGGUUCAGGUCGGCCCUUGCGGCCUCCAUACUGUGACGCUCUAGUGACUGCCAAGUGAGAGCGACUGCCCUGUAAUGAGGGUGCAUGUCGCUUGUCCCUGAGUGCUGAGGCUCAUUCAACUUUCUGGUAGCUUGAACUCUUUGACCACCCUGUAAGCGAGGGCUCUGGUCGGCCCUUUUGGCCUCCUGCUAUUAUGCGCUCGUGGCUGACUAGCGAAAAGGACUCCCCUGUAAUGAGGGUGCAAGUCCCGUGGCCGCGGCUCCUGGGGGGACAUCGAGCUCUUUGGAACCCUGAGCACUGAGACCUCCCUGUAACGAGGGCUCGGGUCUCUGUUGGCAGUCUAGCCGGCGUGACAGCCCCGUAAGUACGGUGCACACGUCACGAGCUCCCUCCUCCCUGCCUGGCCCCCCCCCCCCCCCACCGCUUUUUCUGUGGGGCACACUGAGUCUUUGGCUGCCUGGGCCAGCGAGACCUCCCUGUAACUGAGGACAAGGUCUCUGCCCCUCCUCAUUCGGCGUCCAUGCGCCUUUAGCUGGUGACUUAAGACUGGCCACCCUGUAACUCAGGGUCUAGGCUGCCUCCCUCCUUGACCUACGGAGGCGGGCGCAGGGGCCUUUUUGGUAACGUGGGCAGCGUGGUCUCCCUGUAACCAGGGUUCGAGCCCCUGCCCGUUAGUCGCUUGACAUUCCGCUGCCGUAGCCCGCUGGUCCGAACGAGGGCCCUGUAAGCAGGGCACAAGCCUCAUCAGUCACUAUUCCUCGUGCCCCCGCCCCUCACAACUCUACCCGAGCAACUCUGUCCAGAGUCCCGGCCCCUCGCACCGCCUUGCCGGCUCAUCUGGAAUUCCGCAGCGUCUACCCCGCUUCCCUGCCGGGGACAAGACAUCGUGCAGCAGCUGCUGCACCACCGAGGAAGACGAAGAGGAAGAGGAGGAGGAGAAGAAGGAAGCCUCUAGGAGCCGGCAAGCAAACAGGAGGAAAGGAAGCAAGUCACGGAAGGCAGAGGAGAAGGACAGGGACUGUGGACAGAGUGAGCACCCCACAAUUAAAGCUCGGGUCACAGGGGCUACGGAGCUCUUUCACACCUUGAGCAGCGGGACCGCCCUGUAACUGGGGUGCAGGUCCGUGCUCUCUUGGCCGCUUGGCCUCAUGCUCCUCUAACCGGCCAGCGAGAAGGACUCCCCUGCAAUUAGGGCCCAAGUCACCAUCCUGUCGCUUACGGGGGAUACUGAGCUCCUUGGAACUCCGAGCAGCGUGACCUCCCUGUAACUCAGGGUCAGGUCUCUGCCCUCUUGCCCUUUCGGCAUCAUGGCCUGUUGGCAGUCUGGUCAGCUGGACAGCCCUGUAAGGAGGGUUCAUGUCUCGAGCCUCCCUCUCUCUCUCCUUUGUGGGGACAGACUGAGCUCUCUGGACUCCUGGGCAGCGUGGCCUACCGGUAAUUCGGGAUGAGGCCUCUGCCCUUUAGGUCCUUGGCACUAGGCCCCAGGAAGCAGCCGGUCUGAACGGGCCGCCCUCUAAUUGAGGUGCAGGUGGAAUCCCUCUGGUUGAGACGGGAUUAGGACUAACUUUGGUGCCGCUGAUCCCGUGGCCUGCCUGUAACUUGGGUUCAGGUCUCUGCUCCCUUGCCCUUUUGGCUUGGUGGGCUGUUGGCAGUCCAGCCCGCGUGACCCUCCCUGUAAGCGGGGUGUGGGUCGCCAGUAGCGAGGGCUUAGAGCCCGUUUUCCACCGUGGCCUGGCUGACCACCCUGUAAGCAGGGUUCCGGUCUCUCCCCUUUUGGCGCUCACAAUAAUGCUUUCGUAUCCGGCUGUAACCAGAGAGCUUCUCCAGCCCCUUGCUUCUGCGGGGGAAGGAUCUUUGAACUGUGUGACCUCCCUGUACCGAGGGUUCAGGUCGGCCCUUGCGGCCUCCAUACUGUGACGCUCUAGUGACUGCCAAGUGAGAGCGACUGCCCUGUAAUGAGGGUGCAUGUCGCUUGUCCCUGAGUGCUGAGGCUCAUUCAACUUUCUGGUAGCUUGAACUCUUUGACCACCCUGUAAGCGAGGGCUCUGGUCGGCCCUUUUGGCCUCCUGCUAUUAUGCGCUCGUGGCUGACUAGCGAAAAGGACUCCCCUGUAAUGAGGGUGCAAGUCCCGUGGCCGCGGCUCCUGGGGGGACAUCGAGCUCUUUGGAACCCUGAGCACUGAGACCUCCCUGUAACGAGGGCUCGGGUCUCUGUUGGCAGUCUAGCCGGCGUGACAGCCCCGUAAGUACGGUGCACACGUCACGAGCUCCCUCCUCCCUGCCUGCCCCCCCCCCCCCCCCACCGCUUUUUCUGUGGGGCACACUGAGUCUUUGGCUGCCUGGGCCAGCGAGACCUCCCUGUAACUGAGGACAAGGUCUCUGCCCCUCCUCAUUCGGCGUCCAUGCGCCUUUAGCUGGUGACUUAAGACUGGCCACCCUGUAACUGAGGGCAAGGUCUCUGCCCCUCCUCAUUCGGCGUCCAUGCGCCUUUAGCUGGUGACUUAAGACUGGCCACCCUGUAACUGAGGGCAAGGUCUCUGCCCCUCCUCAUUCGGCGUCCAUGCGCCUUUAGCUGGUGACUUAAGACUGGCCACCCUGUAACUCAGGGUCUAGGCUGCCUCCCUCCUUGACCUACGGAGGCGGGCGCAGGGGCCUUUUUGGUAACGUGGGCAGCGUGGUCUCCCUGUAACCAGGGUUCGAGCCCCUGCCCGUUAGUCGCUUGACAUUCCGCUGCCGUAGCCCGCUGGUCCGAACGAGGGCCCUGUAAGCAGGGCACAAGCCUCAUCAGUCACUAUUCCUCGUGCCCCCGCCCCUCACAACUCUACCCGAGCAACUCUGUCCAGAGUCCCGGCCCCUCGCACCGCCUUGCCGGCUCAUCUGGAAUUCCGCAGCGUCUACCCCGCUUCCCUGCCGGGGACAAGACAUCGUGCAGCAGCUGCUGCACCACCGAGGAAGACGAAGAGGAAGAGGAGGAGGAGAAGAAGGAAGCCUCUAGGAGCCGGCAAGCAAACAGGAGGAAAGGAAGCAAGUCACGGAAGGCAGAGGAGAAGGACAGGGACUGUGGACAGAGUGAGCACCCCACAAUUAAAGCUCGGGUCACAGGGGCUACGGAGCUCUUUCACACCUUGAGCAGCGGGACCGCCCUGUAACUGGGGUGCAGGUCCGUGCUCUCUUGGCCGCUUGGCCUCAUGCUCCUCUAACCGGCCAGCGAGAAGGACUCCCCUGCAAUUAGGGCCCAAGUCACCAUCCUGUCGCUUACGGGGGAUACUGAGCUCCUUGGAACUCCGAGCAGCGUGACCUCCCUGUAACUCAGGGUCAGGUCUCUGCCCUCUUGCCCUUUCGGCAUCAUGGCCUGUUGGCAGUCUGGUCAGCUGGACAGCCCUCUAAGGAGGGAUUGUGUGCUAAUUUCUCCAUCUUUUAGUCAUUUGGCUAGUCCUGUGAGCUGGCAUCUUGAGUAGCCUGAUUCAUUUGUAAUCAUCUCUUUAUAGUGCUGUCAAUCACAGAAGGCUUGACCGCUCUGUUCCUGACAGCCCAGUUUGUUCCAAGAGAUAUCUUCCACAGGAGUUUCUAAAUUCUGAAGAAAAAUUACUAAAAGUGUAAUUAUUAGUCUGUAUGUGGCACUUCAAGCACACACAGAUUUCUUUUUUGCAUACGCUUUUUGGGAAAAUCCAGUUUAUCAAGUCCUUUAUCUAACUUGGUUUUUCCCAUGAACAGUAAUGCCCAAAUAAAUUUGUUCAUGGUUGAAGUACCAGAGCACUCCAUUUCUUUUCAAAAAGUGAGAUUUGUUUGGUAAAUUUAGUAUGAGUUACGGUAAAUUGUCAUUCAUAUUGUAAUAUAUGUCACUUUGUUUAUGCUGCUGUAAGUGUUCUUGUUGAGUUCUGUACUAAAAUGUAUGAAGUAUUUUCUAUGUGAGGUGUCAUAGCAAAAUUCUGGUAUCUUGACUUUUAAAAGUAUGGCUUUUUUUUUAUUACUUUUUAUGUUUCUUGUGGUUUUUGUAUCAGAGGUGAUUGCUUUUGUUCAAGUUUUACAUUUCCCAGCUCAUACGUAUUUCAUUUAAUUUGAAAAUUCUUGACUUGAUUAGACUAAAUUAGUCUUUAUACAAUAUUUUUGUCAUUUG
This is a non-coding RNA of Pelodiscus sinensis (Chinese soft-shelled turtle), 7476 nucleotides long. The record is from RefSeq and is a predicted model, not a curated record. NCBI's taxonomy places the organism in Eukaryota, Metazoa, Chordata, Testudines, Trionychidae.